GCUUUGCUGUGGCUCAGUUGGCAGAGCAUUGCACGCUCAACGACAAAAUCGUGGGUUCAAAUCCCAGGAGAAGCG
Danionella cerebrum is the source of this 75-nucleotide non-coding RNA. NCBI's taxonomy places the organism in Eukaryota, Metazoa, Chordata, Actinopteri, Cypriniformes, Danionidae. The record is from the annotation of a GenBank genome assembly.